AUUGAACGCUGGCGGCAGGCUUAACACAUGCAAGUCGCGCUGUUGAGUCAGCUUGCUACCGCUGCAGCGGCAAACGGGUGUGUAAUACAUGGACGUGCGCAUGGUAGUGGGGGACAACGUCGCGAAAGGGACGCUAAUACCGCACAAGCCCCACGGGGGAGAGGGGGGGAUCUUCGGACCUCGCGAUAUGAGCUGAUCCCAUGGCAGAUUAGCUAGUUGGUAGGAUAAAGGCCUACCAAGGCGACGAUCUGUAACUGGUCUGAGAGGAUGAUCAGUCACACUGGAACUGAGACACGGUCCAGACUCCUACGGGAGGCAGCAGUGGGGAAUAUUGGACAAUGGGCGAAAGCCUGAUCCAGCCAUGCCGCGUGUGUGAAGAAGGCCUUAGGGUUGUAAAGCACUUUCAGUGGGGAGAAAGGUUAUUCACCUAAUACGUGAGUAAAUUGAUGUUACCCACAGAAGAAGCACCGGCUAACUCCGUGCCAGCCGCCGCAGUAA
Molecule: ribosomal RNA, 498 nt
Filed under: uncultured bacterium
Lineage: Bacteria
Description: partial 16S ribosomal RNA
Rfam family: Bacterial small subunit ribosomal RNA
Source: RNAcentral